Long non-coding RNA from Toxorhynchites rutilus septentrionalis, 1298 nucleotides. RefSeq lists it as uncharacterized. The record is from RefSeq and is a predicted model, not a curated record. Lineage: Eukaryota; Metazoa; Arthropoda; Insecta; Diptera; Culicidae. The transcript has 3 exons.
CAACCGUUCAGUUGCCGAAAAGGAAACUUCUGAAGGGCAGUUGACAAUUGUCACAUUCAAACAAUCAAAAGAAAUAGACCAAUAGAGACAGAUAGGGAAGUAAACAAACACAAAACAAUAGAAGGAUCAAUAGGAAGUACAAACGUGGAAGUUUAAAUAGAGAAAUUACGACAAUUGAACAUUGAAACUUAUUUAAAUUAACAAAUUAAACUUAUUAUAAAGUUAGAAAACGUUGCACAACAGUCCGACACAGAUAGCGAAAUACACAAAAAAGGACUAUAAAUCUUAAAGCAUUCUCCAACUUAACAACGAGUUUGCUCAAAAGAGUCCCGAAACGCUUGUGGUCACGACUGGGUCGCAACACACAUGCUUAUAAUCAUUACGUUUUUCUGUGAAACAAAGGUAUUUCUGGCACAAUUCCUCGGCAAAAUGAAACUUCCGUUUAGACAUUUAAAAAUCAACUUGGAAUAUCGAGACGAAACAACUCGGUAAAACGAAAACUCUGAAUGGAAACAGUUGGAAAAUCUCGUAAAAGAUCCAACUGAACUGACCUACACGCUUGCAUAUUUUUCAGUCGCCAACAAAACGUUACAGGAGGGUUGUGUCCGAGAAACGACCGCAUAUGACGGUAGAAUCACGUAUGAGCUAUGUUUAGAAAAUUUCAUCAUGAAACUCUUUGAUAAUAAUUGGAUGGCCCGGAAAGGGAGCGUUUAGUUUGAUUGGUAACAGAUGUCCGAGGGGAAUGAGAUGAGAAUUGGGGAGGCGCAAAUUGGACCAAUAAAAACGUUGUGUUUACCGCAGUAGAAAAUGAAACCAAACGCAUAAUUCAUUGUACAGUCUAGUAUUUGUAUUGAAUAAGAAACUGGAAGAGCACAAGUUGCUUGUGCUAAUUGACCAGUCAGAAAGCGGGAUAUUCGUGUAGAUAUUUUUCCAUUGUUCGAUAGCUAGUUCCAUGCAAUAUAUAUUUUUCUUCAUUGUAUUGUAUUGUAUUGCAGAUGACUGAGCAAUAACAAUUUUUCGUUUUACAAUUUGUACACCAAUUCUCGAAAGACGUAAUCCUACGUCAAAAAGUUUUUACUCAAAAACAAAAUACAAAAAAAAAUUAAUUAAUUACGAUUCAUCAACAAAAUGCAAUUUCUCAUAAAAAUCAGGAUAAAUGCUAAAAUAUGAAAAAUAAAUCAGGACGCCCUAAAAGCAUCUAGAAAUCUGGAUAUUCCUGCUGUAUCAGGAGAGAUGGUAUUCCUACUCAUAAAUAAGAACAGAAUUCUAGUCUUUCCAGCGAACAGUCAACGACCUUC